Carassius gibelio (silver crucian carp) is the source of this 916-nucleotide non-coding RNA. The record is from the annotation of a RefSeq genome assembly. NCBI's taxonomy places the organism in Eukaryota, Metazoa, Chordata, Actinopteri, Cypriniformes, Cyprinidae.
UUGGAGAUGUGAACCGUUUCAAAUGAUUCAGUUCGAUUUGGUGAACUGGUUCAACCGGUUCACCAUGAAGAACCGGUUAAAUCGAACGAUUUGUUCGCGAAUCAAACAUCACUAAUCCUUUUAUCUAAUUUUACAAUUACAUUCAUUUCGCAAUCCGUUCCUUUGUGCCACCUGGCGGUAGUUCGUGAAUAAUUUUAAGACGUGACUGACUUGCAGUUAGCACCGCGGUAAUACCAAUUUUGGUUGUCAACCGACUGUAUGUGUGCUGUAGAUUUAUACCAAUAAUGGAUAAUAUUAAAAUGUGAACUCAUUAAAUAUUUUCUUAAGUCUCGGUGAAACAGCACAUUAAACCAACUUACACCUGUUCACUGCUGCAGUGUUUGCAUAGAGAGUGUGUUUUACAUGAGCGACACACACUUCAGUGCUCUGCAUGUGUUUAUAACUCUGACAAACAUCAAACAUGAUCAACAACUGUUUCUCACUAGAACUGAACCUACAACCAACAAAAAUGACUUUCGUCACCAUAUUGAUCUGGACUCUGACUGUUUUAUGUAGAGAAUCUAUUGGGCAGGUGACAGUGACUCAAACUCCCUCAGUGCUGCUCGCUCAAACUGGACAAUCAGUCACUGUGACCUGUAAAUCCAGCAGUGAUCCUACCUGCUGUUGUAGUGGAAAGCAGUGUCUCAAAUGGUUCUUACAGAAACCUGGAGAAGCUCCUAAACUCCUGAUUUAUGGAACAAGCAUCCUCCAGUCAGGAACUCCAUCUAGAUUCAGUGGCAGUGGAUCUAACAGUGAUUUCACUCUGAGCAUCAGUGGAGUCCAGACUGAAGAUGCUGGACAUUAUUACUGUCAGAGUUUACACUGCAGAACAGAUUCUCAUGGUGUUUGUGCAGGUGAUGUUGUGUUCACACAGUGA